Ailuropoda melanoleuca (giant panda) is the source of this 96-nucleotide Y RNA. It matches the Rfam family "Y RNA". From Rfam's summary of the family: Y RNAs are components of the Ro ribonucleoprotein particle (Ro RNP), in association with Ro60 and La proteins. The record is from Ensembl. Lineage: Eukaryota; Metazoa; Chordata; Mammalia; Carnivora; Ursidae.
AGCUGGUCUGACAGUAGUGGGUUAUCAGAACUUAUUAACAUUAGCGUCCCUGAAGUUGGUAUACAACGCCCCACCGCUAAAUUGGACUGGCUUAAA